This 266-nucleotide unclassified non-coding RNA is filed under the name Hevea brasiliensis (rubber tree). Lineage: Eukaryota; Viridiplantae; Streptophyta; Magnoliopsida; Malpighiales; Euphorbiaceae. The record is from RNAcentral.
GAGUUAUGGGUUGUUGCCAAUCUUCCUUCUUGAGAGUAUCCGUCUCCCAGGAAAAGGCCUCUAACGACAACAACUAUCUUCAUCAGUCGCAGAAUCACCACCCUUCUCACCCGGCCAACGGUACCGACCCUGCCUCCGCUGCUUCCGGAGGUUUUUGUGGUUUCACCGAGUUUUCCCUCGCUGACCUAAAAGCUGCCACCAAUAGCUUUAGCCCCGAGUUCAUCGUUUCAGAAAGCGGUGAGAAGGCUCCCAAUGUCGUCUAUAAA